GUGGGAAGUGGGCGAUGGGCGAAUGCCUCCCCCUCCGACGUACGAGUGACGUACGGUCGCAACUGGACGACGGUCCACCGAAAUUAAUUACCGCGUCCCCGAGAAAAAACUGGGAGAAGCGAAGCGGGUCGUGCGCGUGUGCUCUAUAAUAAUGUACGAAAUAUAUUCUCCCCUCCCACUCUGGACUCUCGCUUAAAACCGCCCCACCCCGAUUCUGUAACGGGGGGUGUGCGCGUAUUUAUUAUCGU
This is a non-coding RNA of Cinara cedri, 248 nucleotides long. NCBI's taxonomy places the organism in Eukaryota, Metazoa, Arthropoda, Insecta, Hemiptera, Aphididae. The record is from the annotation of a GenBank genome assembly.